RNAcentral lists this ribosomal RNA (281 nucleotides) under uncultured Staphylococcus sp. Its description in RNAcentral is "partial 16S ribosomal RNA". It matches the Rfam family "Bacterial small subunit ribosomal RNA", at positions 81 to 356 of the family's 1533-position model. The record is from RNAcentral. Lineage: Bacteria; Bacillati; Bacillota; Bacilli; Caryophanales; Staphylococcaceae.
CUCCUUUGACGUUAGCGGCGGACGGGUGAGUAACACGUGGGUAACCUACCUAUAAGACUGGGAUAACUUCGGGAAACCGGAGCUAAUACCGGAUAAUAUUUCGAACCGCAUGGUUCGAUAGUGAAAGAUGGUUUUGUUAUCACUUAUAGAUGGACCCGCGCCGUAUUAGCUAGUUGGUAAGGUAACGGCUUACCAAGGCGACGAUACGUAGCCGACCUGAGAGGGUGAUCGGCCACACUGGAACUGAGACACGGUCCAGACUCCUACGGGAGGCAGCAGCG